GUUAUUUUAAAUCCUUAAUUAUUAAUAGUUAAAUUCUUUAAAUUUAGAAUAAAUGGCGGUAUUUUAGUCUAUUCAGAGGAAUCUGCCCUGUGAUUGAUACUCCACGAUUUAAUUUACUUAAUAUUUUAGUUUACAUAUCGCUGUAACAUGAAUAUUUUUUUUGAAAUUUAAUAUUCGAUUUUUUUAGGGAAGUAAAUUCAAGUCAAGAUGUAGCUUAUUAUUAAGAAGAGGUGGAUUACAGUAUUUAUAAUAAUUGGUUAUUAAUUUGUAAAGAUUAGUAUAAAUUGGAUUUGAAAGUAAUUAAAAAAAGAUUUUUUUAAUGAUUAAAGCUCUAAAAUA
Molecule: ribosomal RNA, 339 nt
Filed under: Eccoptopterus spinosus
Lineage: Eukaryota; Metazoa; Arthropoda; Insecta; Coleoptera; Curculionidae
Description: partial 12S ribosomal RNA
Source: RNAcentral